Molecule: long non-coding RNA, 720 nt
Filed under: Monodelphis domestica (gray short-tailed opossum)
Lineage: Eukaryota; Metazoa; Chordata; Mammalia; Didelphimorphia; Didelphidae
Description: lncRNA (ENSMODG00000050847.1)
Source: RNAcentral
GGAAAAGGAACACGAAGCAGAAGAGGCAGCCAGGGAGCUUCCACUGAAUGAAUGAUCCAUUGCUGAGUGUGAGAGAAUGAAAGUAGAGAAUCUCCUUUCCUACACAGGAAGGUUGUUCCACAGGGGUUUCAGGUGCAGCUUCUGCUGUUUGCUGUCCUUCUCUGCAUCGCCUUGCUGAUAUCACCCACGGUCUGCGCUUCCCAGCCCACCGGGGUUCGGGUGUAGCUUCUCUGAGGGAGAAAUCUGGAAAAGAUUUACAUGACCUGAUGCAAAUAGAAGUGAGCAGAACCAGAAGAGCAUUGUACACAGUGACAGCAGUAUCUCUUGAUGAACAGCUAUGAAUCACCUAGCUAUUCUCAGUGAUCCAAGAUAAUCCCAGAGAUGCAUGAUGAAAAAUGCCAUCUGCCCUUCAAGAAAGAAAUAAUGGAGUCUGAAUGAAGACGGAAACAUACUAUAUUUCCUUUUCUUUCUUUUUUCAUUUGAGAUCUCUUCCACAAAAUGACUAAUAUGGAAAAAGGUCAUGUACAUGAUUCCACAUUCAAAUCCCUUUAGAUUGCUUAACAUCUCUGCGAGGGGGUAGAGCACUGAGGAAGGGGGAGAAUGAGGAUAAGAGUCAGAAGAAGGCAGAGAAUUUGAAACUUAAAACUAUUUUUUCAUAAUUUAAAAAAAUUAUUUAUAUAUGUAAUGGGGGAAAAUAAAAUCAUUAUUUAAAAAAGAACA